Molecule: long non-coding RNA, 1093 nt
Filed under: Junco hyemalis (dark-eyed junco)
Lineage: Eukaryota; Metazoa; Chordata; Aves; Passeriformes; Passerellidae
Description: lncRNA (ENSJHYG00000006059.1)
Source: RNAcentral
GGCAGCUGUCCUGGCCAGAGCCAGCCCUGUGCCGUGCUGGGAGGGGGCUCAGCCCCCCAGAACCCCCCUGGCAGGUACUGCUGGCCCCGCCACAGCACGGAGCUCACAUCCUUAUUUGCACAACGGCUCCAGAGACAGCCGAGCCAAAAAAGCUUAUUUUAAGCUAGCUGGAAAAAGAACAUUGUUUGGUGGGAAUUUAAACUCCCCAUUCUCAAAAAAGGCAAAAACAAAAAGUGCUUCAUUCUGCCGGCUCCUGCCAUUGCAUAAACACAGAGACAGGCACGGCUGGGCAGGGGGGACAGGAAUUUAUUGCUGGCAUCGAGGAUGGGUUGUGGGACAGGGACCCCUCCUCUUCUGUGCCCUCUCUGUCCCAAAAUCCCUCCUGCUGGCAGGAGGGAGGGAAGGGGCAUUGCCCCACCGUGGUGCCAGUGCUGCGGUCAGGAGGGGUGAGCACGCUGGCAGCCCGAGCUCUGGCUGGCCCGGGUUCUGCAUCGCUGCACAAUAUUAUUAAUAAAUAUUAUUUAUACAGCCCUAAUCCAGCUCCCCGGGCGGGCAGCCGGCCAUGCUCGGGGCUGGCUGUAAAUCACGCCCUUCGCAUCCCCGAACAGGAGAUUUGGGCGCCGGGAGGCAGAGCUGAGCUGGGGGCACAGCAGCACCCGGACAGGAGGCUCCGGGGGGGCCCGGGGCGGGGGAAGAUGCGCGUCCGUCCGUCCGUCCGUCCGUCUGUCCGUGCGGCACAUCCUGCGCGGCCCCUCCGGCGCAUCCAUCACCCGCCCGCGUUUACAGCACGUCGCUGCUUUUACACGAUCCAGACGCGCAGGUUCCUCCUGUCCCGCUCCUCCAGCGCCUUUUGUUUGCUUUCGCCUCCUGCUGCUGGAGACAGAGCAGCUGAUGGAAAAAGCCUGCUCUGGAAAGGGCCGCUUCCUUCCGUCCCUGCCGGCUCUGGCCCCGCUGCUGGCUCUGGAGGGGCCGGUGUGGGCGCAGGGCACGGAGUGACCCUGCUCACAGUGUGGGGCAGUCUCAGGUUCCUGUAGGACCGAUGGGGCACAACCAUGGUGUCCUCCAGGACCUGGCCAUGGGUCCCCUCAUCCAG